GGGUUGUGAGGUUAAGCGACUAAGCGUACACGGUGGAUGCCCUGGCAGUCAGAGGCGAUGAAGGACGUGCUAAUCUGCGAUAAGCGUCGGUGAGGUGAUAUGAACCGUUAUAACCGGCGAUUUCCGAAUGGGGAAACCCAGUGUGUUUCGACACACUAUCAUUAACUGAAUCCAUAGGUUAAUGAGGCGAACCGGGGGAACUGAAACAUCUAAGUACCCCGAGGAAAAGAAAUCAACCGAGAUUCCCCCAGUAGCGGCGAGCGAACGGGGAGCAGCCCAGAGCCUGAAUCAGUGUGUGUGUUAGUGGAAGCGUCUGGAAAGGCGCGCGAUACAGGGUGACAGCCCCGUACACAAAAAUGCACAUACUGUGAGCUCGAUGAGUAGGGCGGGACACGUGGUAUCCUGUCUGAAUAUGGGGGGACCAUCCUCCAAGGCUAAAUACUCCUGACUGACCGAUAGUGAACCAGUACCGUGAGGGAAAGGCGAAAAGAACCCCGGCGAGGGGAGUGAAAAAGAACCUGAAACCGUGUACGUACAAGCAGUGGGAGCCUCUUAAUGGGGUGACUGCGUACCUUUUGUAUAAUGGGUCAGCGACUUAUAUUCUGUAGCAAGGUUAACCGAAUAGGGGAGCCGAAGGGAAACCGAGUCUUAACUGGGCGUUAAGUUGCAGGGUAUAGACCCGAAACCCGGUGAUCUAGCCAUGGGCAGGUUGAAGGUUGGGUAACACUAACUGGAGGACCGAACCGACUAAUGUUGAAAAAUUAGCGGAUGACUUGUGGCUGGGGGUGAAAGGCCAAUCAAACCGGGAGAUAGCUGGUUCUCCCCGAAAGCUAUUUAGGUAGCGCCUCGUGAAUUCAUCUCCGGGGGUAGAGCACUGUUUCGGCAAGGGGGUCAUCCCGACUUACCAACCCGAUGCAAACUGCGAAUACCGGAGAAUGUUAUCACGGGAGACACACGGCGGGUGCUAACGUCCGUCGUGAAGAGGGAAACAACCCAGACCGCCAGCUAAGGUCCCAAAGUCAUGGUUAAGUGGGAAACGAUGUGGGAAGGCCCAGACAGCCAGGAUGUUGGCUUAGAAGCAGCCAUCAUUUAAAGAAAGCGUAAUAGCUCACUGGUCGAGUCGGCCUGCGCGGAAGAUGUAACGGGGCUAAACCAUGCACCGAAGCUGCGGCAGCGACACUAUGUGUUGUUGGGUAGGGGAGCGUUCUGUAAGCCUGUGAAGGUGUACUGUGAGGUAUGCUGGAGGUAUCAGAAGUGCGAAUGCUGACAUAAGUAACGAUAAAGCGGGUGAAAAGCCCGCUCGCCGGAAGACCAAGGGUUCCUGUCCAACGUUAAUCGGGGCAGGGUGAGUCGACCCCUAAGGCGAGGCCGAAAGGCGUAGUCGAUGGGAAACAGGUUAAUAUUCCUGUACUUGGUGUUACUGCGAAGGGGGGACGGAGAAGGCUAUGUUGGCCGGGCGACGGUUGUCCCGGUUUAAGCGUGUAGGCUGGUUUUCCAGGCAAAUCCGGAAAACUAAGGCUGAGGCGUGAUGACGAGGCACUACGGUGCUGAAGCAACAAAUGCCCUGCUUCCAGGAAAAGCCUCUAAGCAUCAGGUAACAUCAAAUCGUACCCCAAACCGACACAGGUGGUCAGGUAGAGAAUACCAAGGCGCUUGAGAGAACUCGGGUGAAGGAACUAGGCAAAAUGGUGCCGUAACUUCGGGAGAAGGCACGCUGAUAUGUAGGUGAAGUCCCUCGCGGAUGGAGCUGAAAUCAGUCGAAGAUACCAGCUGGCUGCAACUGUUUAUUAAAAACACAGCACUGUGCAAACACGAAAGUGGACGUAUACGGUGUGACGCCUGCCCGGUGCCGGAAGGUUAAUUGAUGGGGUUAGCGGUAACGCGAAGCUCUUGAUCGAAGCCCCGGUAAACGGCGGCCGUAACUAUAACGGUCCUAAGGUAGCGAAAUUCCUUGUCGGGUAAGUUCCGACCUGCACGAAUGGCGUAAUGAUGGCCAGGCUGUCUCCACCCGAGACUCAGUGAAAUUGAACUCGCUGUGAAGAUGCAGUGUACCCGCGGCAAGACGGAAAGACCCCGUGAACCUUUACUAUAGCUUGACACUGAACAUUGAGCCUUGAUGUGUAGGAUAGGUGGGAGGCUUUGAAGUGUGGACGCCAGUCUGCAUGGAGCCGGCCUUGAAAUACCACCCUUUAAUGUUUGAUGUUCUAACGUUGGCCCCUGAUCGGGGUUGCGGACAGUGUCUGGUGGGUAGUUUGACUGGGGCGGUCUCCUCCUAAAGAGUAACGGAGGAGCACGAAGGUUGGCUAAUCCUGGUCGGACAUCAGGAGGUUAGUGCAAUGGCAUAAGCCAGCUUGACUGCGAGCGUGACGGCGCGAGCAGGUGCGAAAGCAGGUCAUAGUGAUCCGGUGGUUCUGAAUGGAAGGGCCAUCGCUCAACGGAUAAAAGGUACUCCGGGGAUAACAGGCUGAUACCGCCCAAGAGUUCAUAUCGACGGCGGUGUUUGGCACCUCGAUGUCGGCUCAUCACAUCCUGGGGCUGAAGUAGGUCCCAAGGGUAUGGCUGUUCGCCAUUUAAAGUGGUACGCGAGCUGGGUUUAGAACGUCGUGAGACAGUUCGGUCCCUAUCUGCCGUGGGCGCUGGAGAACUGAGGGGGGCUGCUCCUAGUACGAGAGGACCGGAGUGGACGCAUCACUGGUGUUCGGGUUGUCAUGCCAAUGGCACUGCCCGGUAGCUAAAUGCGGAAGAGAUAAGUGCUGAAAGCAUCUAAGCACGAAACUUGCCCCGAGAUGAGUUCUCCCUGACUCCUUGAGAGUCCUGAAGGAACGUUGAAGACGACGACGUUGAUAGGCCGGGUGUGUAAGCGCAGCGAUGCGUUGAGCUAACCGGUACUAAUGAACCGUGAGGCUUAACCUUACAACGCCGAAG
RNAcentral lists this ribosomal RNA (2925 nucleotides) under Escherichia coli. RNAcentral's name for it is "bacterial LSU rRNA". It matches the Rfam family "Bacterial large subunit ribosomal RNA". The record is from RNAcentral. Lineage: Bacteria; Pseudomonadati; Pseudomonadota; Gammaproteobacteria; Enterobacterales; Enterobacteriaceae.